Molecule: long non-coding RNA, 223 nt
Filed under: Brassica napus (rape)
Lineage: Eukaryota; Viridiplantae; Streptophyta; Magnoliopsida; Brassicales; Brassicaceae
Description: long non-coding RNA (BNAP_LNC022586)
Source: RNAcentral
CGAACACCUUCCGAGUAAUGAAAUGUCUAGAGUUCUAAUCUAAAGAGGCCAACUCUAGAUUAACAUUAAGAUCACUCAAUCAAGCAAGGAAACAUAUUAAUCUAACUCUAAACACUCUAGAUCAUCACUUAAUCAUCCUAACCCAUCAAUCCAAAGAUGACUACUCACUCAUUAUCAUGGUAGACACUAUAUCAUUAGUUGAUCUAAGUCUAAACAUGAUUAA